ACGCUGGCGGCAGGCCUAACACAUGCAAGUCGAGCGGAAACGAAGAGGUGCUUGCACCUCUGGCGUCGAGCGGCGGACGGGUGAGUAAUGCUUGGGAAUAUGCCUUAUGGUGGGGGACAACAGUUGGAAACGACUGCUAAUACCGCAUAAUGUCUACGGACCAAAGUGGGGGACCUUCGGGCCUCACGCCAUAAGAUUAGCCCAAGUGGGAUUAGCUAGUUGGUGAGGUAAUGGCUCACCAAGGCGACGAUCCCUAGCUGGUUUGAGAGGAUGAUCAGCCACACUGGGACUGAGACACGGCCCAGACUCCUACGGGAGGCAGCAGUGGGGAAUAUUGCACAAUGGGCGCAAGCCUGAUGCAGCCAUGCCGCGUGUGUGAAGAAGGCCUUCGGGUUGUAAAGCACUUUCAGUAAGGAGGAAAGGUUAAGUGUUAAUAGCACUUAGCUGUGACGUUACUUACAGAAGAAGCACCGGCUAACUCCGUGCCAGCAGCCGCGGUAAUACGGAGGGUGCGAGCGUUAAUCGGAAUUACUGGGCGUAAAGCGUACGCAGGCGGUUUGUUAAGCGAGAUGUGAAAGCCCCGGGCUCA
RNAcentral lists this ribosomal RNA (589 nucleotides) under uncultured bacterium. RNAcentral's name for it is "bacterial SSU rRNA". It matches the Rfam family "Bacterial small subunit ribosomal RNA", at positions 33 to 611 of the family's 1533-position model. The record is from RNAcentral.